Beta vulgaris subsp. vulgaris (sugar beet) is the source of this 2060-nucleotide RNA transcript. RefSeq lists it as hypothetical. The transcript is spliced from 9 exons. The record is from RefSeq and is a predicted model, not a curated record. Lineage: Eukaryota; Viridiplantae; Streptophyta; Magnoliopsida; Caryophyllales; Amaranthaceae.
CUAUCAAACCUCUUUUACCCAACCUCAUCUCAAACACUCAAGGAAGUUUUGUUCCCGGUCGUCAAAUUACGGAUAAUAUUGUAAUUAUGCAGGAAGUCAUUCAUACUCAAGGAAGUUUCAUUCGUGCAGCACCAGCACGCUCGCGUUUCUUCUUUCAUUUUUCUCGCUGAAACUCCUCUCUCUUCUCUCUCUCCUCUCUCACACAUAAACGAACGGCGACUACCGACUUACUUACCGAGAUACUUCCGGCGAAACCAGUGAGGGGCGCGGACCGCCGUCACUGCGACGCUGCCUGAACCAGCGAAUCUCUGUUUCUCUCUAAGUCGCCUCUCAUUGUUAUCUAUCUCUUUCCCUCUAUCGCCUCUUUGUGUCUCCAGGUUCUUAUCAGUCUACUUUAAAAAUUCAAAAUUUUUAAGGUUUGCAAGUUGGAAUUUUUGUCACUUGUGAAUACUGAAUAGUGAUGGCCACCAACUCUAGUCACGAAGAUCCAACACCAACAACAAAGAAUCCUGUCACAACAACUGCUACACUUACCAUCCCAGCAAGUGUUUCAAAAUUACAACCAAUAUCUCAACCUAGAACCCCAUUAUUUCUCCAACAUCAUCCACAAAUUCAACACUCUUUCCAACAUCAUCCUCAGCCUGUGCCAUUUACAGCACCAACUUCGAUUCAAAGCCAAACUCAGCCUAUUCGGUACCCAUUAGCUUCUUCGGGACGUGGAAUUCUUCCUACAAUUGGAUGCACUCGUCCAAAUUCUUCUCAGCAUCAGCAGUAUCAGCAUCAAUCGUCUGCUCAUCUUUUACUUCGACCUCUUAAUGCUCAUAUAUCACCUGCUCCUGCUGUUGCUAGACCCAUUCCCUUGAAUAAUCCUCCUCAGUCUAAGGCUGGUUCAUCUCCCUACUUUAUCGCUGAUAGUAGUGAUUCUAAAGAUCCGCUGGACAAAGGUACAGAUGAUAUGUUGGUCACUCUCAGAGAUCGAAAGGUGAGGAUAACAGAUGGGGCUUCUUUCUAUGCUCUCUGUCGGUCGUGGCUGAGGAAUGGUUAUGUCGAAGAAAAUCAACCACAGUAUGGUGAUAUUUUUAGUAGAUCUCUUCCAAAACCCUUGCCCCUGCCUGAAUCUUUUACACCUAAGAGAAAGGAGUGUGAUGAUGAAACAGAAGUUGACGAGGCUGAGAAAUUAGGUAAUGCUGAAGAGCUGCUGUCAAUGCAUGUUAGGCGAGCUAAGAGAGUUCGAACAAGGAGACAAAUUCGAGCUUCAAAGCUCACCUUGCAUUUAACGUCUUCAGCAAGUUUUUGCGGGUAGGCACACACAACACAUUCUUUGGUAGCAGGUUAUUCUUCAGAAUACAUUCCCAUAAUGUGAGAUGACAGAUGUAUCACCUACAUUCCCAUAAUGUGAGAUUACAGAUGCAUCACCUGUAGAUUGAGGGAAGAAAGAUUGCAACGAAUUGAAAGAUACAAAAGCAGGCUUGGUCUUCUUCUUCAUCCUCCGAAUGGAACAACGCAGGAAUGAUACAAACAUGGGUCCUAUUACCAAUAUCUGCUAUAUCAUACCGUGGAGUGUUUGAUGAAGUGGAGGACUUGAAGCUAUUUAUCUUCUUUGAAGUGCAAAAUGUUCCAUAUAGUAGUCCUAGUUGGGUGACUUGGGUCCCUUGCCUUGGUAAUUGAUUUCCAAGUUUUUACCCAGUUUUUACUUUUUAGUGCCCAAGUAUGUUUCUCGAGAAACAGUUUGCAAGCAGAAGGUGAUCCUUCUACUCUGAUUUUCUCACCUGAAACAACUACUGCGACGUUGUAGCAAUGUCUUUGAAUGGGUGGUGGUUGUGGGUAGCUCUUAAUGGACGAUUUUCUAGGACUAGGACUGGAAUUCUAUUACAAGAAUGUUGGUUAGAGUUUUCUCUCCCCCCCCCCCCCUGCUAGGAAAAAUUUGUCAGAGGUAGGAGUACAAAGAAUUAAGACUUUUUUCUGAGCUUUUGGUGGUCUAAUUUGACAGCCAUGUAAAUCGAGGUUAUGUUGGUCGAUUUGACGCCCAAAAGUUUAUAUAGGAUGAGUAUUUGCAGUAA